This is a long non-coding RNA of Astatotilapia calliptera (eastern happy), 818 nucleotides long. Lineage: Eukaryota; Metazoa; Chordata; Actinopteri; Cichliformes; Cichlidae. The record is from Ensembl.
GAUGCACCUCCACACCUGUCCAUGCUGUCACUCAGCCAUUCCAGGCUGUUUUUAUCUUCCUGUGGUUCUCAUCAUACUUCCUGUGGAAAGUGGAGGCUGUCUGCAGCAUGUGCACAGCUGUUUGGAACACCUCCAUAUUGAAGACUGACUCCAGGUUUACUGGGCUGGCCCAUCGUAAAUUGGACUGGAUAUCUUCUUUCUCGACUCUGCCAGACUCAAAGUGGACUACAGGGUGACCUUACCAGUCCUCCACAACCACAGCGUUAUCACUGCCAUGUGAUGAGCCUGAUUCCCAAGUCAUCUGUAAUGUGGAAUCCAUAAACUUCUCAAUGAAGAAAGUUAUUUGAAUUCUUAUUUUUUAAUGGUGGGGCUUAAAAAUUCCCAUUUCAGACCUGUAGUUUUAAAAUGAACCUCCAGUGUGUAUGUCAGCAGAUGAAAUUUCUGAGGAAAAUUGCUCUCAUGCCAUUCUCGUCUCCUCUCCUUUUCUCUGUCUCUUUCUGUCACACACUUACUCUAUCCACACACAUACUCCUUUUUUAAUCAGGAUUUACUUCAGAUUUGGUAAAUUUGGCUUUAUGCUAUUUUAUAUGUGCUUGUAUCUCUGGCAUCUUACAAAAAACUAUUUUUCAUGAGCUCAAAAAUCAUUUUGACACAAAAAAUUGUUUAUUUAAUUUUUUCAUAUGUGAAUUGUUUUUUAAUUGUGUUUCAUUCAAUACUUCAAACUGUAUGUGAAACUUCUGUGGUAAUUGCAGAGCAUUAGUGUAAUCACAUUAUAUUUUUGUUUUACUAUACUAAAUACAGUUACAAUUAUGUCAUUA